ACAAGCGGUGGAGCACGUGGUUUAAUUCGAUGCUACACGAAGAACCUUACCAGGGUUUGACAUACAAGUAGUAGGGAAAGGAAACUGGACCGACCCUUCGGGAGCUUGUACAGGUGCUGCAUGGCUGUCGUCAGCUCGUGUCGUGAGAUGUUCGGUUAAGUCCCGCAACGAGCGCAACCCUUGUCAUUAGUUGCCUACAUUCAGUUGGGCACUCUAAUGAGACUGCCGGUGACAAAACCGGAGGAAGGUGGGGAUGACGUCAAGUCCUCAUGGCCCUUAUAGGUGGGGCUACACACGUCAUACAAUGGAUGGUACAAAGGGUCGCCAACCCGCGAGGGGGAGCCAAUCCCAUAAAGCCAUUCGUAGUCCGGAUCGCAGUCUGCAACUCGACUGCGUGAAGUCGGAAUCGCUAGUAAUCGUGGAUCAGAAUGUCACGGUGAAUACGUUCCCGGGUCUU
This 457-nucleotide ribosomal RNA is filed under the name uncultured Polaromonas sp. RNAcentral's name for it is "bacterial SSU rRNA". It matches the Rfam family "Bacterial small subunit ribosomal RNA", at positions 925 to 1382 of the family's 1533-position model. The record is from RNAcentral. Lineage: Bacteria; Pseudomonadati; Pseudomonadota; Betaproteobacteria; Burkholderiales; Comamonadaceae.